CAGAUUUGUAGAAAUAUAGUGCAUAUAAAAUAAUAUUACUAUUAAUCACUAACUAUGGAGUUGUGACAUAGGAGCAACAAAUGGAGGGGAGGGGAGCUUGUGGACGUUUCCCCCUUCGGAAAUUUGCCUGUUCUCCUAUUAUUUUUUAGAUACUAGCCGACCACAAGCUAAGAUCAUCAAAAUGUUCGCCCAAAGUAAAGACAACAAAUAUUCAUAUUCGUGAGAUCUAUAUGUCAUAAAAAAUAGCGGCAGUUAUAAAUGCAAAGG
This is a long non-coding RNA of Gordionus sp. m RMFG-2023, 267 nucleotides long. RefSeq lists it as uncharacterized. Lineage: Eukaryota; Metazoa; Nematomorpha; Gordioida; Chordodea; Parachordodidae. The record is from RefSeq and is a predicted model, not a curated record. The transcript is spliced from 3 exons.